UACAGAGGUCCCAAGCGUUGUUCGGAUUUACUGGGCGUAAAGGGUGCGUAGGCGGUGGGGUAAGUUUGAGGUGAAAGCUCCGGGCUCAACCCGGAAAAUGCCUUGAAAACUAUCCGGCUAGAGGGUUGGAGGGGAGACUGGAAUUCUCGGUGUAGCAGUGAAAUGCGUAGAUCUCGAGAGGAACACCAGUGGCGAAGGCGGGUCUCUGGACAGUUCCUGACGCUGAGGCACGAAGGUCAGGGGAGCAAACGGG
This 253-nucleotide ribosomal RNA is filed under the name uncultured bacterium. RNAcentral describes it as "partial 16S ribosomal RNA". It matches the Rfam family "Bacterial small subunit ribosomal RNA", at positions 524 to 776 of the family's 1533-position model. The record is from RNAcentral.